This is a non-coding RNA of Pelobates cultripes (western spadefoot toad), 234 nucleotides long. The record is from the annotation of a GenBank genome assembly. NCBI's taxonomy places the organism in Eukaryota, Metazoa, Chordata, Amphibia, Anura, Pelobatidae.
GAGCACCUGUCUUUCGGUUAUACGAACAGCCACCCAGAGAGAGCAAUUAACUUUGUGGUUACUUUGAAGAUAAUGAGUCUGUGUUCGGUAGAUAGAAAUACCAAACCAAAGGGAAAAUAACGUGGGCUUAGGAAAAUAGAGUUUUCAGUUUGUCACACCUUACUUUAUUUCUGGACAUUUAUUUACCAUCAUAUGCCUGGUGGGGAUUAUGCCACCCAUGUGCAGAUAUUUGAG